CAACACUAGCUGCCUUUUAUUACAUUUUAAUUUUUUUGGAGAGUCACAAUAACCGAUUUAGCUCUAUGGUAAACACGCACCCCAUUUUUGUACUUAGGGAUUAUCUCCUUCCUUAAAUGGACUGUGGUGCUGAGAUGCUGAUCGGUGCACUCGUCCUGCGGCCCCUCUCAGCAGUGAUGCUGACGGUGUAGAGCAUGCCUGGUGUUAGGCCUCUCAAGUUAGGUCCUUUGGUGCAUCCAGCGCUGAAACAGAGACGAGAGAGGUAAAAUCGAAGUUGGAGAGGAAAGGUGACGUGGAGCAGCUGUGCAUUGCAAGUCAUGGACUUGGAAAGCAAUGAAGAAGUAUCUGCUUUUCCUCUCCCAUAUUAUCUGUGCCUAUACCUAACCUUUUGUUUUGAAUGCACAGAGCUGAAAAUUGGUUAUACUGUUUUAAUUAUGUUCUCUGUUUGCCACACAAUUUUCAUCAUGGCCUACAAGAACUUAAGGAA
Syngnathoides biaculeatus (alligator pipefish) is the source of this 487-nucleotide long non-coding RNA. RefSeq lists it as uncharacterized. Lineage: Eukaryota; Metazoa; Chordata; Actinopteri; Syngnathiformes; Syngnathidae. The transcript has 4 exons. The record is from RefSeq and is a predicted model, not a curated record.